This 73-nucleotide transfer RNA is filed under the name Phycisphaerales bacterium. Its description in RNAcentral is "tRNA-Met". It matches the Rfam family "tRNA". From Rfam's summary of the family: Transfer RNA (tRNA) molecules are approximately 80 nucleotides in length. Their secondary structure includes four short double-helical elements and three loops (D, anti-codon, and T loops). The record is from RNAcentral. Lineage: Bacteria; Pseudomonadati; Planctomycetota; Phycisphaerae; Phycisphaerales.
AGCGGGAUGGCGCAGGUGGCAGCGCGCAUGGCUCAUAACCAUGAGGUCGCCGGUUCGAGCCCGGCUCCCGCAA